RNAcentral lists this ribosomal RNA (566 nucleotides) under Fusarium solani. RNAcentral's name for it is "eukaryotic LSU rRNA". The stretch from base 181 to 334 matches the Rfam family "5.8S ribosomal RNA". Lineage: Eukaryota; Fungi; Ascomycota; Sordariomycetes; Hypocreales; Nectriaceae. The record is from RNAcentral.
UCCGUAGGUGAACCUGCGGAGGGAUCAUUACCGAGUUAUACAACUCAUCAACCCUGUGAACAUACCUAAAACGUUGCUUCGGCGGGAACAGACGGCCCUGUAACAACGGGCCGCCCCCGCCAGAGGACCCCUAACUCUGUUUUUAUAAUGUUUUUCUGAGUAAACAAGCAAAUAAAUUAAAACUUUCAACAACGGAUCUCUUGGCUCUGGCAUCGAUGAAGAACGCAGCGAAAUGCGAUAAGUAAUGUGAAUUGCAGAAUUCAGUGAAUCAUCGAAUCUUUGAACGCACAUUGCGCCCGCCAGUAUUCUGGCGGGCAUGCCUGUUCGAGCGUCAUUACAACCCUCAGGCCCCCGGGCCUGGCGUUGGGGAUCGGCGGAAGCCCCCUGUGGGCACACGCCGUCCCUCAAAUACAGUGGCGGUCCCGCCGCAGCUUCCAUUGCGUAGUAGCUAACACCUCGCAACUGGAGAGCGGCGCGGCCAUGCCGUAAAACACCCAACUUCUGAAUGUUGACCUCGAAUCAGGUAGGAAUACCCGCUGAACUUAGACAUAUCAAUAAGCGGAGGA